AUAUGAAGGUGGCAGUGAAAAACAUAGUUCGUCUUGUAAGAUCGUUGGCGUUGAGCUGUGUUACAUUUUGUAUUGAUGAAACAGUAACCAAGCGACCAUACUUGAGGUUCACAAGGAAUAUGUUCCCACAUGCAUGGAGUCCUUUAAUGAUGGAACACCUGUUGUGAGGAAUGCAGUUUUCUCAGCUUUGGCGGUUAUUUCCAAGAUGGUUGGUAUGACACCUUUUGGAGAAGUCUCCAGAAAAAUCUGGAUGAUGUCAGACAAAAGAAGUGUCUGAAAUGAUUGGGGGUUGACAGGGGAUCCUUCUGCUCUUCCAAACUCAGGCUUAGAUCAGGAGUACUUUGGAUGUGUAUAAGAGAAAAGUUGACCUGGCUGUGAAAUCUAAUGCCCACCUUCUUCAGACACUGGCAGAUGCUAGAGUUGAACUCACCAAUCUCUUAUCAGCUUUUGGAGAAAAAGACUUAUGUCAGAAUUCCUGACAAGACGUCAGGAACGAAGAAGGAACAGCUAUUCUGAUGUUCAAUCUCAAAUACAGAAGAUAUCUGUGGAGAUUGCUGGAACUAGUGUCCAGGUUGAGAAUAUCUCAGUUGAUGAGUCCAAUCUAUCCAUGAAAAAAUUAGAUGAGUUUAAUGCUCAGCCUCAAGAUCUUCAAAAGAAAAAGAGUGACGGGCUGAACAAGGUUACUGACUUGUGAGCACAGUUCACGAUGUUUGUGCUGUCCUUGGCAUGGACUUCUUUACUACUGUCACCGAAGUGCAUCUCAGUAAGAAAGCAUCUGCAAUGACACCCUAGCUGGGCUGGCGAGACUGUUUUAGCACUAAAUGAAAUAAAGAAGCAAAGAUUGCAAGAGGUCUGAGCAGUACAAGGAGCUCGAGCCAGGAGCUGUUCCAAAGGCUGUGGGUUCUGUACCCACUGAGGGGAGUGUAGCUGAUGAUAAGUAGUCCGUUAAAAUCCUUGCAACUUGUCGCAAUCUUAACUGCUGAACGAGAUGGUGACACCCUCAAAGCUGCAUCAAAUACUUUGGCUGAACUUAGUCAACUUGGUUGGCUCAGAAAAUAUUUCACGUUCCAGUGCAAGAGAGCCGGUGAGAUAAACAAAAGCUUGCUGACACUUUGUCGAGUCAUAAAUGCCUCGGUUAAACAUUCUGCUCAUAUACCCUACAGAGAUAGCAAGUUAAUGAGGUUGCUGAAAGAUUAUUUGGGAGGGGAAACAAAGACCUGUAUAAUUGCUACGAUAUCACCUUCCACCCACGGUUUAGAAGAGACACUCAGUUCAUUAGAUUAUGCUCAUCGUGCCAAAAACAUAAAGGAAAAACCAGAGGUCAAUCAGAAGAUGGUUAAGUCCCUCCUGAUCAAGGAUUUCUACUUUGAAAUUGGUCGACUAAAACAAGGUCUUUGGUCCAUCAUCCCAGCAAAAGGAUUUGUACGAUCAAGCAGUGUGUCCCAUUGUAUUUGAUGUUCUGGAUGCCUAUACUUCUACCAUCUUUGCCUACGGGCAAACUAGACCUGGGCAGGCCUAUACUACGGAGGAUGGGUCAAGAAAAAAGAAUGGUGAUAUCCCAAGUGAUGUUGGGGUUAUUCCAAGAGCCAUUAGACUAAUUUUUGACAUCUCAGAAGCUCAAAAUGCUAAGCACAGCCUGAAGGUCACAUUCUUAGAACUUUACAAUGUGGAAAUAACAGAUGUUUUGGUGCCGGGUGAAUGUUCGAAAUUCAUAAAAGACAAAUCAAAGAAUCCAGUAGCUCUCUUGGAGGAUGGCAAAGGCGGAACUUUUGUUAGGGGAUUUGAAGACGAGAUUGUGUCAACAGCUGAUGAAAUAUAUAAGAUCUUAGAGAAAGGUUUUACCAAGACGAGAACAGCAGAGACCCUUCUGAACAAACAGAGCAGCCGUUCUCACUCUGUAUUAUGUAUCGCUAUUCAUAUCAAUGAGUGUGAUCCAGAAGGAGAGGAGAUGAUCAAAUGUGGGAAGCUAAAGUUAGUCGACCUGGCUGGAUCAGAGAAUAUUUCACGUUCCGGUGCUAGAGAGCAUGGAAGAGCAAGGGAAGCCGGUGAGAUAAACAAAAGUUUGCUGACUCUUGGUCGAGUCAUUAAUUCCUUAGUUUAAUAUUCUGAUCAUAUACCCUACAGAUUCUUUGGCAGGGGAAACAAAGACAUGUAUAAUUGCUACGAUAUCACCUUCCUCCCUCUGUUUAGAAGGGACACUCAGUACAUUAGAUUAUGUUCAUCUUGCCAAACACAUUAAGAAAAAACCAGAGGUCAAUCAGAAGAUGGUUAAGUCCUUUCUGAUCAAGGAUUUCUACUUUCAAAUUGAUCGACUUGAUGUGCAUAUUACAAGAGUGAAGAAUGAAAUCUAGAGGUUUCUGAUCUCUUUUAAGAUUUCUUUAUUGAUAUUGUGGGUUAGCCUUCAUACAACUUUUUUAGAACUUUUGUCAGCUUUUGGGUUUGGAAUGAUGUCAUGCAAUACUUUCGAGAGGAUCUGCAUCAGAGGCUCUUAAGUGCUUACUUUCAAAAAGCAAGUUGAUGGCAUUGAGAUGUUUCAAAAGGCUCUUCCAUCCAUGGGAAGAGAGGUGAUUGAAGUCUUAGAUAUAGUAUUAAAGCUUUGGAUCUGUUGAGAAAUGAGGGCUACACUAUGACAAAAGCAGAUGCAACAACUUUCUUCCUUACUUGGUUGAGAAGACUGGAAUGAAGCAUUGGGAAUCAUAGAAUAUGGUUCUCCUGAACAGGCUGUUGAGGGAUGAAAAUUGUGUGCCAUGAAUUGGCACAAGCAAUUGUUGACUCCGAGAGUAGCACAAUGGAUGACAUAGUGAAAGAGGCUGAUAAACUAGUUUCAUGCCAGGCUAAUAAGACAAUUAUUAUGCUAUUUUUGACAUACCACUUCGGCAUUGUUUCUACGAGAUCCUCACAAUUGUUAUCAUUUCUAGCAGGUUGCGAAGACUUUUGACUUCAGCCUCACUUGUGCCUCUUCAUGAUCUUAAUACGAGGCUUGCUUAUACUCUUAAAGAGAGUACUCUUGAUAGUCUCAUCACAGAUAAGUUACUAUGGAUUUUGGGUGAUAGGGUUCCUUAGAUGGCUUGCUCAUAUCUUGCAUUUUCUAUUCGUCAGGUUCGAGUAGGACAAAGAACACAAACCAGCUGUUUAUGAGGCUAUGGCAGUUAGAGGAAUGAAAGUUGUGUGCCAUGAAUUGGCACAAGCAAUUGUUGACCCCGAGGGCAGCACAAUGGAUGACAUAGUAGUAGAUGCUGAUAGACUAGUUUCAUGCCGGGCUAAUAAGACAAUUAUUAUGCUAUUUUUGACAUACCACUUCGGCAUUGUUUCCAUGAGAUCCUCACAAUUGUUGUCUUUUCUAGCAGGCUGCAAAGAAUUUUGACUCCAGCCUCACUCGUGCUUCUUCAUGAUCUUGCAAAUAUGUCCUGAACCCUAAACCAUAAACCCUAUAUACUCUAAUGCAAACUUUUUAGGUCAGAACAAGAGGCUUGUUUGUGCACUUAAAGAGAAUACUCUUGAUAGUCUCAUCACAGAUAAGCUAAGCUACUAUGGCUUUUGGAUUAUAGGGUUCCUUAGAUGGCUUACUUAUAUCUUGCAUUUUCUAUUCGUCAGGUUCGAGCAGGACAAAGACCACAAACCAGCUGUUUAUGAGGCUAUGACGGUUAGAGGAAUGAAAGUUGUGUGCCAUGAAUUGGCACAAGCAAUUGUUGACCCCGAGGGCAGCACAAUGGAUGACAUAGUAGUAGAUGCUGAUAGACUAGUUUCAUGCCGGGCUAAUAAGACAAUUAUUAUGCUAUUUUUGACAUACCACUUCAGCAUUGUUUCCAUGAGAUCCUCACAAUUGUUAUCAUUUCUAGCAGGUUGCGAAGAAUUUUGACUUCAGCCUCUUCAUGAUCUUGUAAAUAUGUCCUGAACCCUAUAUACUCCAAUGCAAACUUUUCGAAACAACUUUUGUUGCUGCCAUUUCAGAACAAGAGGCUUGCUUAUGCACUUAAAGAGAGUACUCUUGAUAGUCUCAUCACAGAUAAGUUACUGUGGCUUUUUGGAUGAUAGGGUUCCAUAUAUGACUUGCUAAUAUCUUGCAUUUUCUAUUCGUCAGGUUUGAGGAGGCAGAAGCUGUUUAUGAGGCUAUGGUAUGUGUACUCUGAAUUCUGUCAUUGUGUGAUAUUUAAAAAAUGAUAUUUAAAAUAUGUUUCCGGCCAAUGUUGUCAAGUCUCAAUGUUGGCAUUUUUAGACAUUUUUAUAGUGUGUAUUUUGUUUAGGGUUCGUUCGCUUUUCCAUAUAGCAUUUGUCAUGUAAAAAUACUUGAUAAGAAUUAGGGGAGUUUUGUAUCA
Molecule: non-coding RNA, 4316 nt
Organism: Salvia hispanica
Lineage: Eukaryota; Viridiplantae; Streptophyta; Magnoliopsida; Lamiales; Lamiaceae
Source: RefSeq, a predicted model, not a curated record